GUCACGAUAGGCUUUAUCGUCGAAGUAAAACUAGUGAAUCGAUCUAUUUUAAAGUAUAAAUAUCCGGAAAGUCAAAUUAUGCUAUACCUACUCGACGCCGCUGCAGAAGAAAAUUUAGUCGAAAAUUCCAAUACACAGACGCUUCAAGAGACGCUUGCAACCCGUCUGAUAAGUACGAUGAAGAAAUGGCAUAAGUAUUUACAGAGUGCAUAAGGAGGCGACAGUGCAUUUCACAUUCCCCAACUUAACGCCGAGAAUCACAAAUCUAACAACCAUGAUGGAUUACCUAGUGCCCUAAGGUUCUUAAUUACCUAUCCACCCUAGCAGAGCUAGUGCCAACUACCAACACAAGACUAGACAAGAUUAUGGCUCAUCCAUUUGGUAGACUACUGUGAUAUGACCCAGCAUCUCAAUCAAUUGACAUUGUAAUAUCUGCUGUCAACAGAAGGCAAAAAAUUCGUGGUUCAAGAGGAACUAUGGAAGAGGUGCCUCUCGGCCUAUCUAAGCAUGAUGCAAUCAACUGCUGGCUGUUGUCAAAAGCUGGCGUGCGAGCGUACACAAUAAACAAUUAUUUAGGACAUUAUUUUGUUUUACUAUCACACUGCAUACAGCCUUAAUAAAAUCUGAUAGUCACCUCUGUGCC
RNAcentral lists this long non-coding RNA (643 nucleotides) under Leguminivora glycinivorella. RNAcentral's name for it is "uncharacterized LOC125229243". Lineage: Eukaryota; Metazoa; Arthropoda; Insecta; Lepidoptera; Tortricidae. The record is from RNAcentral.